RNAcentral lists this ribosomal RNA (758 nucleotides) under uncultured bacterium. RNAcentral's name for it is "bacterial SSU rRNA". It matches the Rfam family "Bacterial small subunit ribosomal RNA", at positions 8 to 794 of the family's 1533-position model. The record is from RNAcentral.
AGAGUUUGAUCCUGGCUCAGGAUGAACGCUGGCGGCGUGCCUAACACAUGCAAGUCGAGCGAUUCUCUUCGGAGAAGAGCGGCGGACGGGUGAGUAACGCGUGGGUAACCUGCCCUGUACACACGGAUAACAUACCGAAAGGUAUGCUAAUACGGGAUAACAUAAGAAAUUCGCAUGUUUUUCUUAUCAAAGCUCCGGCGGUACAGGAUGGACCCGCGUCUGAUUAGCUAGUUGGUGAGGUAACGGCUCACCAAGGCGACGAUCAGUAGCCGACCUGAGAGGGUGAUCGGCCACAUUGGAACUGAGACACGGUCCAAACUCCUACGGGAGGCAGCAGUGGGGAAUAUUGCACAAUGGGCGAAAGCCUGAUGCAGCAACGCCGCGUGAGCGAUGAAGGCCUUCGGGUCGUAAAGCUCUGUCCUCAAGGAAGAUAAUGACGGUACUUGAGGAGGAAGCCCCGGCUAACUACGUGCCAGCAGCCGCGGUAAUACGUAGGGGGCUAGCGUUAUCCGGAUUUACUGGGCGUAAAGGGUGCGUAGGCGGUCUUUUAAGUCAGGAGUGAAAGGCUACGGCUCAACCGUAGUAAGCUCUUGAAACUGGAGGACUUGAGUGCAGGAGAGGAGAGUGGAAUUCCUAGUGUAGCGGUGAAAUGCGUAGAUAUUAGGAGGAACACCAGUAGCGAAGGCGGCUCUCUGGACUGUAACUGACGCUGAGGCACGAAAGCGUGGGGAGCAAACAGGAUUAGAUACCCUGGUAGU